AGUGAACGCUGGCGGUAGGCCUAACACAUGCAAGUCGAACGGCAGCACAGUAAGAGCUUGCUCUUACGGGUGGCGAGUGGCGGACGGGUGAGGAAUACAUCGGAAUCUACUUUUUCGUGGGGGAUAACGUAGGGAAACUUACGCUAAUACCGCAUACGACCUACGGGUGAAAGCAGGGGAUCUUCGGACCUUGCGCGAUUGAAUGAGCCGAUGUCGGAUUAGCUAGUUGGCGGGGUAAAGGCCCACCAAGGCGACGAUCCGUAGCUGGUCUGAGAGGAUGAUCAGCCACACUGGAACUGAGACACGGUCCAGACUCCUAAGGGAGGCAGCAAUGGGGAAUAUUGGACAAUGGGCGCAAGCCUGAUCCAGCCAUACCGCGUGGGUGAAGAAGGCCUUCGGGUUGUAAAGCCCUUUUGUUGGGAAAGAAAAGCAGCAGGUUAAUACCCCGCUGUUCUGACGGUACCCAAAGAAUAAGCACCGGCUAACUUCGUG
This 492-nucleotide ribosomal RNA is filed under the name uncultured bacterium. RNAcentral's name for it is "partial 16S ribosomal RNA". It matches the Rfam family "Bacterial small subunit ribosomal RNA", at positions 29 to 507 of the family's 1533-position model. The record is from RNAcentral.